UACGUAGGCAGCGAGCGUUGCUCGGAAUCACUGGGCGUAAAGCGCACGUAGGCGGCUUUCUAAGUCAGGGGUGAAAUCCUGGAGCUCAACUCCAGAACUGCCUUUGAUACUGGGAAGCUCGAGUCCGGAAGAGGUGAGUGGAACUCCGAGUGUAGAGGUGAAAUUCGUAGAUAUUCGGAAGAACACCAGUGGCGAAGGCGGCUCACUGGUCCGGUACUGACGCUGAGGUGCGAAAGCGUGGGGAGCAAACAGG
Molecule: ribosomal RNA, 253 nt
Filed under: uncultured bacterium
Lineage: Bacteria
Description: partial 16S ribosomal RNA
Rfam family: Bacterial small subunit ribosomal RNA
Source: RNAcentral